GGUUACUGCUAUCGGAGUUCGAUUAAGCCAUGCGAGUCUAAAGGUUUCUUCGGAAACCUUGGCGGACUGCUCAGUAACACGUGGAUAACCUACCCUUGGGACUGGGAUAACCCCGGGAAACUGGGGAUAAUACCGGAUAGAUCAGGGAUGCUGGAAUGCACCUUGAUCCAAAGCUCCGGCGCCCAAGGAUGGGUCUGCGGCCUAUCAGGUAGUAGUGGGUGUAACGUACCUACUAGCCAACGACGGGUACGGGUUGUGAGAGCAAGAGCCCGGAGAUGGAUUCUGAGACACGAAUCCAGGCCCUACGGGGUGCAGCAGGCGCGAAACCUUUACAAUGUGCGAAAGCAUGAUAAGGGAACUCCGAGUGCCAGCAUCUAAUGUUGGCUGUCCUUGUGCCUAAAACGCACAAGACAGCAAGGGCCGGGUAAGACCGGUGCCAGCCGCCGCGGUAACACCGGCGGCCCGAGUGGUAGCCGCUAUUAUUGGGUCUAAAGGGUCCGUAGCCGGUUCGAUAAGUCCUCUGGGAAAUCUGGUUGCUUAACAAUCAGACUGCCAAGGGAUACUGUCGAACUUGAGACCGGGAGAGGUAAGAGGUACUUCAGGGGUAGGAGUGAAAUCUUGUAAUCCCUGGGGGACCAUCUGUGGCGAAGGCGUCUUACCAGAACGGGUCUGACGGUGAGGGACGAAAGCUGGGGGCGCAAACCGGAUUAGAUACCCGGGUAGUCCCAGCCGUAAACGAUGCUCGCUAUGUGUCAGGUACGGUGUGACCGUAUCUGGUGCCGUAGGGAAGCCGUGAAGCGAGCCACCUGGGAAGUACGGCCGCAAGGCUGAAACUUAAAGGAAUUGGCGGGGGAGCACUACAACGGGUGGAGCCUGCGGUUUA
Molecule: ribosomal RNA, 883 nt
Filed under: uncultured euryarchaeote
Lineage: Archaea; Methanobacteriati; Methanobacteriota
Description: bacterial SSU rRNA
Rfam family: Archaeal small subunit ribosomal RNA
Source: RNAcentral